ACAGCGAUGUCCGAGUGGUAAAGGAGUUUGACUAGAAAUCAAAUGGGCUCUGGGCUCUGCCCGCAUAGGUUCGAAUCCUGUUCGCAGCG
Molecule: transfer RNA, 89 nt
Filed under: Toxocara canis (dog roundworm)
Lineage: Eukaryota; Metazoa; Nematoda; Chromadorea; Rhabditida; Toxocaridae
Rfam family: tRNA
About the family: Transfer RNA (tRNA) molecules are approximately 80 nucleotides in length. Their secondary structure includes four short double-helical elements and three loops (D, anti-codon, and T loops).
Source: Rfam by way of RNAcentral